AUCUGGCUCAGAUGAACGCUGCGGCAGGCCUAACACAUGCAAGUCGAACGGUAACAGGAAGAAGCUUGCUCUUGCUGACGAGUGGCGGACGGGUGAGUAAUGUCUGGGAAACUGCCUGAUGGAGGGGGAUAACUACUGGAAACGGUAGCUAAUACCGCAUAACGUCGCAAGACCAAAGAGGGGGACCUUCGGGCCUCUUGCCAUCGGAUGUGCCCAGAUGGGAUUAGCUAGUAGGUGGGGUAACGGCUCACCUAGGCGACGAUCCCUAGCUGGUCUGAGAGGAUGACCAGCCACACUGGAACUGAGACACGGUCCAGACUCCUACGGGAGGCAGCAGUGGGGAAUAUUGCACAAUGGGCGCAAGCCUGAUGCAGCCAUGCCGCGUGUAUGAAGAAGGCCUUCGGGUUGUAAAGUACUUUCAGCGGGGAGGAAGGGAGUAAAGUUAAUACCUUUGCUCAUUGACGUUACCCGCAGAAGAAGCACCGGCUAACUCCGUGCCAGCCGCAGC
RNAcentral lists this ribosomal RNA (508 nucleotides) under uncultured bacterium. RNAcentral describes it as "bacterial SSU rRNA". It matches the Rfam family "Bacterial small subunit ribosomal RNA", at positions 17 to 518 of the family's 1533-position model. The record is from RNAcentral.